GACAGAGGGUGCAAACGUUGUUCGGAAUCACUGGGCGUAAAGCGCACGUAGGCGGACUUUUAAGUCGGAGGUGAAAUCCUGGAGCUCAACUCCAGAACUGCCUUCGAUACUGAGAGUCUUCGAGUUCGGGAGAGGUGAGUGGAACUGCGAGUGUAGAGGUGAAAUUCGUAGAUAUUCGCAAGAACACCAGUGGCGAAGGCGGCUCACUGGCCCGAUACUGACGCUGAUGAGCGAAAGCUAGGGGAGCAAACGGG
Molecule: ribosomal RNA, 254 nt
Filed under: uncultured bacterium
Lineage: Bacteria
Description: partial 16S ribosomal RNA
Rfam family: Bacterial small subunit ribosomal RNA
Source: RNAcentral